This 395-nucleotide unclassified non-coding RNA is filed under the name soil metagenome. Its description in RNAcentral is "partial contains 5.8S ribosomal RNA, internal transcribed spacer 2, and large subunit ribosomal RNA". The stretch from base 1 to 120 matches the Rfam family "5.8S ribosomal RNA", at positions 35 to 154 of the family's 154-position model. The record is from RNAcentral.
GAUGAAGAACGUAGCGAAAUGCGAUAAGUAAUGUGAAUUGCAGAAUUCAGUGAAUCAUCGAAUCUUUGAACGCACCUUGCGCCUUUUGGUAUUCCGAAAGGCACACCUGUUUGAGCGUCAUGAAUACCUCAAUCUCCAUCUUUUCUUCGGAUUGAUGGGUGACUUGGAUGUUGAGCCCUGCUGGUAUGCUAUAUCAGCUGGCUUUAAACUUAUUAGCCGGCUCUGUACUGGAUCGGUUUGACUCGACGUGAUAAUAUUAUCGUUGAGGAUGCAUGUCUCAUGCAGCCGGAAAGUAUCAACGCAGCUUCUAGCUUGCCUUUAGUGCACUUUUACAUUUUAGACCUCAGAUCAGGUGGGACUACCCGCUGAACUUAAGCAUAUCAAUAAGCGGAGGA